Molecule: ribosomal RNA, 252 nt
Filed under: Triticum aestivum (bread wheat)
Lineage: Eukaryota; Viridiplantae; Streptophyta; Magnoliopsida; Poales; Poaceae
Description: partial small subunit ribosomal RNA
Source: RNAcentral
AGCUUCAAGAAUACGCGGAGGAGGUGGCCCGGGUCGGCGUCGGCGCCGUCCGGCGCGGGCCACGGGCCCGCUUCCAAGUGCAUCUGCGCGCCGGCCACCCACGCCGGGUCCUUCAAGUGACGCUUUCACCGCACCAACUUCCAGGGCCAGGGAAGUCGCCCUUCUUCGCCCCCUUCACCGGCCACGGCCAACGCGGUGCCGCGGCACCCGGCCUCGCCGUCCUCGUCCUCCAGCACCAUCGUGACCCAGUGA